RNAcentral lists this ribosomal RNA (516 nucleotides) under uncultured Aquabacterium sp. RNAcentral's name for it is "bacterial SSU rRNA". It matches the Rfam family "Bacterial small subunit ribosomal RNA", at positions 9 to 522 of the family's 1533-position model. Lineage: Bacteria; Pseudomonadati; Pseudomonadota; Betaproteobacteria; Burkholderiales; Sphaerotilaceae. The record is from RNAcentral.
GAGUUUGAUCAUGGCUCAGAUUGAACGCUGGCGGCAUGCCUUACACAUGCAAGUCGAACGGUAACAGGUCUUCGGAUGCUGACGAGUGGCGAACGGGUGAGUAAUACAUCGGAACGUGCCCGAUCGUGGGGGAUAACGAAGCGAAAGCUUUGCUAAUACCGCAUAAGAUCUACGGAUGAAAGCAGGGGACCGCAAGGCCUUGCGCGAACGGAGCGGCCGAUGGCAGAUUAGGUAGUUGGUGGGAUAAAAGCUUACCAAGCCGACGAUCUGUAGCUGGUCUGGGAGGACGACCAGCCACACUGGGACUGAGACACGGCCCAGACUCCUACGGGAGGCAGCAGUGGGGAAUUUUGGACAAUGGGCGAAAGCCUGAUCCAGCCAUGCCGCGUGCAGGAUGAAGGCCUUCGGGUUGUAAACUGCUUUUGUACGGAACGAAAAGACUCUGGUUAAUACCUGGGGUCCAUGACGGUACCGUAAGAAUAAGCACCGGCUAACUACGUGCCAGCAGCCGCGGUA